RNAcentral lists this long non-coding RNA (383 nucleotides) under Arachis ipaensis. RNAcentral describes it as "long non-coding RNA (AIPA_LNC002450)". The record is from RNAcentral. Lineage: Eukaryota; Viridiplantae; Streptophyta; Magnoliopsida; Fabales; Fabaceae.
CGGAAAUAAAGUAAAAAUAUAGCAAAAGAACAAUGUAUAAGUACUGAAAAAUAAAAAUAAAAAUAAAGAUAAAAAUACAGAAAAAUAAACAAAAUAAGAUAAAAAGAGUCUGUAGUGGUUCACCAAAAAAUACGCUAGGGAUGGCGACCUCCCCACACUUAAUAUAAAGCAUCGUCCUCGAUGCUCACUCAAGCUGGGUGUGAAGGAGUGUCAUCACCGGAAGGAUGGGCUGCUGGUGUCUCGGUGGUGGCCUGAGGAUCUGCAAACUGGAUGAGGGUAGGAGGAUCUGUCUGCUGCAGUGGAGGUGCUGACUGGAGAGGGAUCUCUGGGUCUGUGGCCUGAAUCUGAUGUGACUCCUCCUACUGUGGCACAGCAUGCUCCGG